This 322-nucleotide ribosomal RNA is filed under the name uncultured Sandona. Its description in RNAcentral is "SSU rRNA". It matches the Rfam family "Eukaryotic small subunit ribosomal RNA", at positions 632 to 955 of the family's 1831-position model. Lineage: Eukaryota; Cercozoa; Glissomonadida. The record is from RNAcentral.
GAUUUCUGACUUGAAACAUUUUGCCGGCCACGGUUUCGUGUGUUAGUGCUUGAUGUUCUGGUCAUCCUUCCAAUCGCUAUUGACUAUUCUUCAUUGAUUGGUCAGUGGUAUUGGAUCUUUUACUUUGAAAAAAUUAGAGUGUUUCAAGCAGGCUUUAUGCUAUGAAUACAUUAGCAUGGAAUAAUAAUUUAGGACUUCGGUUCUAUUUUGUUGGUUUCUAGGACUGAAGUAAUGAUUGAUAGGGAUAGUUGGGGGUGCUAGUAUUCAGAGGCCAGAGGUGAAAUUCUUGGAUUCUCUGAAGACUAACUUAUGCGAAAGCAUU